UCUUUCCAUGCUACGUGAUUGCGACGGAAUGGACGGCCAGCAGCAGCGUGUCGCCGAUUUUGUCUUUGCCGACAUCGAACAAGUGAAGCUCGCCAGACCGUGGCAAGCACCCGAAGUGUUGCGGUCUGCACUGCGUUGUCUUUCGCACAGAGACGGCCAGAUGCAUAUGAAAGCCUACCAGCAUGGAGUGACUGUGCUAUUUUUCUCCUAACGCCUCAGGUAUUGAAGAAGCGGCAACAGCCACAGGAAGUAGCCAUCUUAUCCAGCACGUUAUGGGUACAAGUUGGCGGCUCCUGCUUCUGCGACCACCCUGUCUCGACUGCGCCCACUAGAGUUGGCAGCCUUAGUGAUGAUGCCCAGCAGGCCAACGGCAGACAGCAAGAUGCAGGUAAAUACAUGUAAUCCAGCACCAUCUUUUUGACUGAAGCAGCUUGUAGCCACUCAGCAAUGAAUUACUUGGAAGUAGUAUAGGUGCCCCACUAUUGGUGCAGCAAUGCUCAAGUCCAUGUAAUUUGUUUUAGCCACCAAAAGGCUAUGUGGAUUAGACAAACCACAAUGCACAUUGUCAUACUAGUGGAGACCACUUAUACAAUUUUUUUCUUCCUUAACACAAAAACUAUGUUGAUAAAGCUUUACCAAUUUGAAAGCAAUACAAUGUGCUCUCAGAUCUGGUAUUUGGCAUAUUUUUCCUAGGACCGCCUCAUUGUUAAACCUGCAGGUAAACAUACGCCGAAACUGAGUUUUCUGCAAGUUCAUCCUCAUCU
Long non-coding RNA from Dermacentor silvarum, 764 nucleotides. RefSeq lists it as uncharacterized. The transcript is spliced from 3 exons. NCBI's taxonomy places the organism in Eukaryota, Metazoa, Arthropoda, Arachnida, Ixodida, Ixodidae. The record is from RefSeq and is a predicted model, not a curated record.